RNAcentral lists this ribosomal RNA (364 nucleotides) under Bacillus cereus. RNAcentral's name for it is "bacterial SSU rRNA". It matches the Rfam family "Bacterial small subunit ribosomal RNA", at positions 558 to 921 of the family's 1533-position model. The record is from RNAcentral. Lineage: Bacteria; Bacillati; Bacillota; Bacilli; Caryophanales; Bacillaceae.
GCGUAAGCGCGCGCAGGUGGUUUCUUAAGUCUGAUGUGAAAGCCCACGCCUCUACCGUGGAGGGUCAUUGGAAACUGGGAGACUUGAGUGCCUUAGAGGAAAGUGGAAUUCCAUGUGUAGCGGUGAAAUGCGUAGAGAUAUGGAGGAACACCAGUGGCGAAGGCUACUCUCUGGAAUGUAACUGACACUGAGGCGCGAAAGCGUGGGGAGCAAACAGGAUUAGAUACCCUGGUAGUCCACGCCGUAAACGAUGAGUGCUAAGUGUUAGAGGGUUUCCGCCCUUUAAUGCUGAAGUUAACGCAUUAAGCACUCCGCCUGGGGAGUACGGCCGCAAGGCUGAAACUCAAAGGAAUUGACGGGGGCC